RNAcentral lists this unclassified non-coding RNA (234 nucleotides) under uncultured fungus. Its description in RNAcentral is "sequence contains ITS1". Lineage: Eukaryota; Fungi. The record is from RNAcentral.
GUAUUGUAUUGCGUUAAACGCGACAUACAUUCCAUAAGACUUUAUCACUGAGUGUGUGUGUAAAGACAUAGAACCACAGUGGGAGGACAGUGUCCCCCACACCACAGAACUACAGAGGGUGCACAGGUGUGAGUGGGUUUGUAAACAGAGUGUGCACAUGCCCCCAUCUGAGGACCAGCAACAACUCGUGUCGACAGUUCAGUAAUGAUCCUUCCGCAGGUUCACCUACGGAAA